UCUCUCGGCCUCCUUCUCGAAGUUGUUGCGGUCGAGUUGCAUGUGAGUCAGCUUUCAAUGUUAUAUAUAACGAAAAAAUCGGUAUCAGUGGGCUGUAAACUGAAACUGGCAUUAAGUUAACCUUGGGAACAGAUGACCAUCUGUGUAACAUACACAAGUGAAACGUUUUCUACUUCAAAAACAAGGAAACUUUCUACCUAAUCCUGGUCACUGCAAAUUUGCAAAUAGCGCCUACGGGCUAGUCAUAGUCCAAUAAAAUAAAAUAACUCAGUCUCUAACUUCCAUGCUUCCAUGUAAAAAAAUGUUGUUCGUUUGACAUGUGUUACGUUGACAGUUUGACAGAUAUUGAAAAAAAAAUCAUAGAUUAUAAAAAUACAUGUUGUUCGUUACACGUUAAUAUUAUUGUUAAAAUCGAUGUUUAGAUUGAGUUCGUUUGAGUAAUAGCGCUUGUGUGAACUAGGCUUUAAAAAUAUAUAUUCCUAAAUAUUUAAAAAAAUAAACUGACUUCAAUUGACAUCAACAAGUAAUACACGCAAAAUAAUAAUUUAAACACGCAUUUUUGGCAAUCCUUUUUUAUAUAUAUAUAUAAAGUUUUCCAAAAUUCAAUCUCAUUUUGUUGCGAAUAUAGGUAUACAAAGAUGUCAUCAGUUUAAAUUGUGGCGGGCAAUGUAAUAAUUUUUAUAUGUAGAAUAUUUAAUAAAACUGGAACAAAAAUAUAUUAAAAUACAUUACUGUACACCGUGCAUUUGUAAUUAGGUUUAGUAGUUGAUAACUAUCGUCGCUUUUACUUUUACGACAAUUACCGCGGAUGUUAUUGUGAAACUUGAAUUUUGGCAACGUUAGUCACAGACAGUAUUUUCAAUAACGAUUUUCCAGCUAGAUAUUUUUAUUUUUACUUUUACACAAGCGCUAUACUAACUCUCAUAAACUCGAAAGACGUUUAGCGACUACUUUACUUUUAACUCAGAUACUAUCAGUGUUGUACGUAGACAGAAUUUCCUCUUCCAGACCGUUGAAAGGUAAUCGGAACGGUGAAAAGACAGGGUAGAAAAUUGUUGUCAUUAAGAAAAGUAAUCAAAAAAUGUAAAAAAUAAAUCUGUUGAUUUUUU
This is a long non-coding RNA of Melitaea cinxia (Glanville fritillary), 1109 nucleotides long. RefSeq lists it as uncharacterized. The record is from RefSeq and is a predicted model, not a curated record. Lineage: Eukaryota; Metazoa; Arthropoda; Insecta; Lepidoptera; Nymphalidae. The transcript has 2 exons.